GAUGAACGCUGGCGGCGUGCCUAAUACAUGCAAGUCGAGCGAACAGACGAGGAGCUUGCUCCUCUGACGUUAGCGGCGGACGGGUGAGUAACACGUGGAUAACCUACCUAUAAGACUGGGAUAACUUCGGGAAACCGGAGCUAAUACCGGAUAAUAUAUUGAACCGCAUGGUUCAAUAGUGAAAGACGGUUUUGCUGUCACUUAUAGAUGGAUCCGCGCCGCAUUAGCUAGUUGGUAAGGUAACGGCUUACCAAGGCAACGAUGCGUAGCCGACCUGAGAGGGUGAUCGGCCACACUGGAACUGAGACACGGUCCAGACUCCUACGGGAGGCAGCAGUAGGGAAUCUUCCGCAAUGGGCGAAAGCUUGACGGAGCAACGCCGCGUGAGUGAUGAAGGUCUUCGGAUCGUAAAACUCUGUUAUUAGGGAAGAACAAAUGUGUAAAUAACUAUGCACGUCUUGACGGUACCUAAUCAGAAAGCCACGGCUAACUACGUG
Molecule: ribosomal RNA, 497 nt
Filed under: uncultured bacterium
Lineage: Bacteria
Description: partial 16S ribosomal RNA
Rfam family: Bacterial small subunit ribosomal RNA
Source: RNAcentral